GUCACAAAGAGCAUCGCGAGCGGACCCUCGCCGCGGCGUCCUGGGGGCUGCAGCAGCUCCCGCCACGCCCCGCGCGCCCUGUGACUGUGAGCCAGGGCGUACGGGCGGGAGUGAGGAGCGCGGCAGAGUCUAGCGAAGGGGGCAGAAAGGGGCAGUUGCUGGGUGCUAAGCUGGGGGGAGGGGGCGUCAGGCUGAGGUGGGAAUGGGGCGCAUGCUGCUCUGGCCCACAUGACCAGUAAAGACUGGGAGCUGGCCACGCGAUGCCUCCCUCUCUACAGUGCAAGCCAGGGCAGGAGCAGCCAUUUUAAAAAAUUUUUUCCUGGUGCUGCUUUUUCUUUUCUUUUUGUUUUGCUUUCACUGCAGGAGCCAGAGUGAGUGCACCAGCCACCCCACUCCAGUUCUUAACUCCUAGCUGGCCACGUUCUACUUCACCCCGGCAAUGUGGCACACCCCGCGGCCAAGAUGCUGUAAUCGCUGCCUCCGCACAGUGGAGCACAGCGAGAUGGGAAAUGGGGCAGGCUGCCAGAUCACUCCAGCUCCUGCCUCUGCGGUGGGGUAGAGGGAGAACACCUGCAGCUGCCAGGCACCAAAAAAAUCCUCUGCUGUCCACCCCAUGCAUAGGUUGAGGCAGCUGCUGCAGGACUCCCCAAAAUGUGAAGUCUGGGUUCGCUCUGGUUCCUGCUCCAUCUGUAGUCCCAGGGGCAGCCUUUCUCUGUUGCUCCCUGGAUGACUAUUAGCUGUUGAGGGCCAAUCUAGAUAAUUACAUGUGCAGUACUACUACAAAGCAAGCAGUAUGAGGAUAGCAGUGUAUCCCACUGAUUCCAGUGAGCCGAAAAAUGGCAGCAGCUGACACACAACGUGACAUCCUAUGUGGCAGGGAUGUGCCCCAGCGCCUCUAAGAUUGAGAGUUCAUAAUCUGGGGAAAAUCUAGCUUGCUGCAUCAAUUAUGAGUGUUAAAAGUUUGCUUGAGUCCUAACACCUGCUUAGAUUAAAAAUGAAGCACUGAAAAAAGAAAAGCUAUUACAGAUUGUGUGACUAUAACUUUGGAGAAGCAGGAACAGAUAGAAGUAUAAUUUCAAUGCAAAAAAUAUUACUAAAAGAGAGUCCUAUGAAAACUUUAUUUAUAGAUGUCAAGUUAACAUGUCUGUUUCAAGUUAUGCUCUGUAUAUGGGCACAUUUCCACAGUGAAUUACAUGCAUGUGGCACUCUUGUUUAUACAAAAGUCACUUGCAUCCAAAAGACAGAAUUUGGCCUCUAAUUUUAUACUCAGUGGCUCUGUCUACACUGGUGGGUUCUUGCGCAAGAACAUCCAUGGCAGUGUGGACGCUCUCUUGCGCAAGAAAGCUCUGAUGACCAUUUUAGUCAUAGGGCUUUCUUGCGGAAGUGCAUCCACACUGCCAUGUUACACUUACACUUGUUAGAAAAGAGCAUAGCUCUUUUACAAGAAGCCCUGUCUUCUGACACCGUUGUAAAUCUUGCGCAAGAGCAGGAGGGCAGUGCGGAUGCUCUGUGGGUUUUUGCGCAAUAAUGGCCAUUCUUGCACAAGAACCUGCCAGUGUAGACAUAGCCUAUAAGCGCAAACUUGUAUGAUCCUUACCACAGCUUUAAAGAAAAAAAAAGUUGAGAAAGUUCUUUCUGAUAAAGUUAAAAUACUUUCACUCAUAAUAAUUCUUUGUCCUUAUGGUGCAUUUCACUUAGGGUUUCAAAGCUCUUUGUAAAAAUAAAUUAAUGAAAUCGCCAUUGUUUUAAUACUUUCCUAGUGACAAAAAAGCAAAGAACAUAACUGUCUAGCCUUUAUAAAACAUAUAGCCACAUGAGGGUGCAAUUUAUCAGCAUAUCAAGAGCGUCUAUAGUUCUGUUAAUUGUCAUUUCACUAUUCCACAAAGAACUAGACAAAAUGAUCUAGACUACAAAUCAUGCAUUUAUGAAAGCUGCAUAAAAUACCAUCGCAUGAAUGAAAAUGAGCUUUAUUCCAUAGGAUCCUUUCUCUGUAAUUAUGGAUGUGAUUUGUAAAUGAUAUUUUAAUUAUUUCUACCAGUCAUAGUUAGAAAAAUAGGUUUUUCAGGAAUAAUUACUGGAAAAGGUAGGCAAAUCAUUUGUAUUCAUCAGCAGUAUAUCCUCUCGUUAACCAUUAUGUUAUUUUAUUUUCUGUUUGCAUUUUCAUAUUUUAAACCCUUCUAUUUAUAAUGAUUAAAUUCUCUUUUUUAUAUUUGGUUCUAUUUUUGUUUAGCCUCUGAUUAAUAUUGCAUGAAAUAAGAUUAUAUUUUUAAAGUACAGGGUUAAAUUUUCAAAUAAUACUUGAAAUAUUUCUCAGUUCUUUUCUUCCAUUUGUUAAUGUGGGCCUUGAAAUGUAAUAAUGGCCUAUGAAUGACAAUAUAAUCAGUUAUUUAUCAUGGAUUUGCUUGUGCAAAAGGCAAAAAUCUAAUUUUCUUUGUGUGCAGUGUUGGUAUAGCUGUGACAGUCCCAGGAUUUUGGAGCGACAAGCAUAGUAGUCUGAUGGCACCCAUACAUCAUGAGAAAUACAGUCUGCGUAGGGAGCCCAGCCAACAAAGCCAGAUGAACCCAUGUGGAACCUGUACUACAACUUCAAUGAAACACCAUACUGGCAUUCCAAUAGCAAAAUGUUUGACUUUUCAAUUAAAUGUUGAUUUUUCCAUGCAAUCAGGAACAUUGCACAAACAAAAAACUGUUUAGUCAAAACUUCAAUAUUGCAUUGAAUAGUUGAAAAACUAUUUAAACAAAUUGUUUGACCAGGUCUAUAUACAGCACAAUAAUAUAUCAACAUUACAGCCAUAUUACUAUUAACAUCAUCAUCAUGAAAGGAGAAUAAUCUGUCACUGCCAAGCUGCAAGUACAUGGAACAGGUCUCCAAGCCUUCUGCUACAGUAAGGAACAAUCAGUUAUUUGUUGAUAAAAAAUAAUAAGUCCUUUUGACAUCGAGUCUGGUAACAUCUCUUCAUGAGUAAUAGCAAAAUAUAUCCUAAAAUAAUAAACAGAGUAAUGAGAUUAAUGUCAGAUAAGCAUUGAUAUGAACGAGAGUGAAAGUGGAAGUUGAACUUAAUAUAGCUCUCAAUACAACUCUUGAAGACUUUAGGCAAAAAAAUGCUACUGAGGUCAAACUAAAAUGCAUCACUACAGUUAGAUAAAGUUCAACUUGUUUUUAUUUUGCAUCAUGGAGCUCAAUAUUUGCAUUUGUGUAUCAGCCACAAAGAACUCUGUAAACACUAGGGAUGUAAAAUCCUGUUUAGUUCAUUAACUGGUUAAAUAUCAAAUUUAACCAGUGAACUGAUUAAAUAGAGUGGGGGGUUGCUCCCCGACAAAUCACAUCUGCCUGUCUGAGCUAGAGUGCCCCCUGUGACAGACCCGGCCGGGUCCGCACUGACCGCGGGGGAGAGACCCCC
Non-coding RNA from Pelodiscus sinensis (Chinese soft-shelled turtle), 3401 nucleotides. NCBI's taxonomy places the organism in Eukaryota, Metazoa, Chordata, Testudines, Trionychidae. The record is from RefSeq and is a predicted model, not a curated record.